Molecule: long non-coding RNA, 1262 nt
Filed under: Ananas comosus (pineapple)
Lineage: Eukaryota; Viridiplantae; Streptophyta; Magnoliopsida; Poales; Bromeliaceae
Description: long non-coding RNA (ACOM_LNC031664)
Source: RNAcentral
CGGAUCGGACCACUUCGGUUCGGGUCGGAUCCUUCAUGACUUGGUUUGGAUCGGACCCACUUCAAUUCGAGUCGAAUCCUUCAUGGUUUGGUUCGGAUCGGACCACUUCGGUUCGGGUCGGAUCCUUCAUGGUUUGGUUCGGAUCGGACCCACUUCAAUUGGAGUCGAAUCCUUCAUGAUUUGGUUCGGAUCGGACCACUUCGGUUCAGGUUGGACCCUUUAUGAUUUGGUUCGGAUCGGACCCAUUUCAAUUCGAGUCGAAUCCUUCAUGAUUUGGUUUGGAUCGGACCUACUUCAAUUCGAUUCGAAUCUUUCAUAGUUUGGUUCGGAUUAGAGCCACUUUGGUCCGAGUAGGACCCUUUGUGGUUCGGUUCAGAUAGGAUCCGGUUUGGUUCAAUUCAGAUCAAAUUCACUUUGGUUUAAGUUGAAUCCUUUAUGGUUCAGUUCGGACCAGAUCUGGCUCGGUUCGGAUCCGGUUUAGUUCAGUUUGGUUUGAUUCAAGUUGAAUCUCAUUCGAUUCGGACCGGAUCUGGUUUGGUUCAGAUUGGUUCGGUUUAGUUCAGAUCGGGGUUUACUUUGGUUUAAGUUGAAUCUUGUUCAGUUCGGACCAGAUUUGGUUUGGUUCUGAUCCGGUUCGGUUUAGUUCAGAUCGGGUUCACUUUGAUUCAAGUCGAAUCCUGUUCGGUUCGGAUUGGACUCAUUUCGGUUCGAGUCGGAUCCUUUAUAGUUCUGAUCGGAUUGGACCGGAUUCGGUCCGAGUGGUUCAAGUCAAAUCCUAUUCGGUUCGGUUCAGAUCGGAUUCACUUUGGUUCAAGUUGAAUCCUUUGUGGUUCGAUUCAGAUCAGAUCCGGUUCGGUUCAGUUCAGAUCGGACUCACUUUAGUUCAAGUCGAAUCCCUUAUGGUUCGGUUUAAGCUGAACCGACUUGUAAUUUGGUUUGGUUUGGUUAAUAUCUUUAAUGGUUCAAUUUUUGAUUGGUAUGAGACUCAAUUAAAAUUAGACCGGUUAGAUUGGAUCGGCUUAUCGUCCGAUUUGAUUUAUCAUUAUGGCUUGGCUCGCUCGGGUCAAGCCUAUCACGAAGACGACAACACGGUCUAAUUGAGCCGAACUCGGGUCAAGCCUAUCACGAAGACGGCGACCCGGUUUAAUUAGCCGAACUCGGGUCAAGCCAAUCACUAAGACGGCGACCCGGUUUAAUUAACCGAAGUCGGGUCAAGCCUAUCACGAAGACAGCGAUCCGGUUUAAUUAACCGAACUCGGGUC